RNAcentral lists this ribosomal RNA (114 nucleotides) under uncultured archaeon. Its description in RNAcentral is "partial 16S ribosomal RNA". The record is from RNAcentral.
AUAUUGGGGCUAAGCAUCCGUAGCUCGUUUUGUAAGUUUUCGGUUAAAUCCAUGCGCCUUAACGUAUGGGCUGCCGGGAAUACUGCAUAACUAGGAAUUGGCGGGGGAGCACAG